CAUAUUGUAAGACAAAAGUGAAAGUUGGACAUUUUCAGGCGUUCCGCUUGCCCUAAAAAGUUGUCGCCACAAAUUUUUACCAGUUUAAAAAAAUAUCACUCCAUGAAUAACUUCGAACAGAGACGUAGAUGAUGCCUUUGCUUUGGACACUAUUCGUGCUAUAGUCAAAUGUAAUUGACAAUAUUUCACAGAAUCGCAUUGCGUUUAUAUGAUUAAAACCUUGAACAACAUCCGCCUUGAAUCGAAUAUAAAGAGCGCUCGAAACGAAGUGAACAGUCGUUCCCGAAAGUAAACACCAAAGGUAUCAUCAUGAAGACUGCCUUCCUUGUUGCUCUCCUGAUCACUUGCGUUGUCAUGGUUACCAUGCCAGUGACUGAAGCCCAACGUCACUAUGACUGCCAUUGCAGUAGCGGACCGUGUCGUCACCCAAAGAGAAACUCCGGUCCGUGUCCACGCAACCCACGACAGAAGUAUUGCUGUAGAUAUUGAGGACCACCAAAGCACACCAGACCACAUUGAAAUUCAAAUGUUCUGGUUAGGUUGAAUCAAUAAAACAGCGCAAUGUU
Dreissena polymorpha is the source of this 566-nucleotide long non-coding RNA. RefSeq lists it as uncharacterized. The record is from RefSeq and is a predicted model, not a curated record. Lineage: Eukaryota; Metazoa; Mollusca; Bivalvia; Myida; Dreissenidae. The transcript is spliced from 4 exons.